CAUAAAUUACAUGUACAAAAAAACUCGAGAAUAUUCAAAACAUAUAAAUGAUCUAAAUCUUUAAAAUAUGUUUCGAGAGUUUUGAGAUUACUCCGAUUCCAAAAAUUUCCAAAAUUAAAAAUAUUAGUCCAAUCUGAUCCGAUUCUCAAAUUUUAAAACAAAAAUUAAAAAAAAUUGUUUCCGAUCGGAUCCGCCCGAAAAUCACCCCUACCCAAAACAAAAUAAUAGUACAUAAGAUUAUAUCUUUUUUUUUAAUGGGCUACUCAUUAAUAAACCCUCGACUAGUCAAAAACCCUAGGUACUGGAGGAACACUAUGGUGAGGCGGAAGAGGGAGCAGUCGGAGUCGCAGUCCCAGAAUUUAUCCACUAGGAUGGUGAAGCGGAAGUUGGAAGACGAAUCGACAACAACCGAAGAGAAAACAGAAGAUGAUGUCACGCAUAAUGCCAUUAUACCGUCCCCGCCGAAUGUUGAGGUCCGGGCAACUUUUAUUGUAGACAAUGCCUCUCUGAGAAAGGGUGUCGUUCGAAAGAGGUGGGAUAAGAUUCUAGAUUCAGAGGAAGACGCGGAUUUCCUCAAACAAAAGAAAGAUGUGAAUGAUUAUAGGCCUGGGAGUUGUCUACCCGGCUCUUCGUUCAAUUUUUGAUAGCAAACUUAAUAAAGCUGGUAUGGUAGGAGCUGUGUAUGUAAAAACAGAUAAUGGAGUGUUAUUUGAGAUUAAACCCCAUGUCCGUAUACCAACUACCAAAGAACGUGUAGGCGCUUUUGUGGAGUCAUGCUGGAGUUACUAGAUAAAAAAUGCAUACGGACCAAAGAUACAAAUGAAAUUCUUAUGCGCGUCAUUGCGGAACCUGUAACCCGACAUUUACCAGUCAACUCUCGUGUAGUAGGUCUCUCUUAUAGUUCAUAAAAACUGGUUGAUAUUGAUGACUAUGUUAAUUCUGCCAGUGAUGAAUUGAAUCUUGUUUUUGUGGUAUGUUUGAGAUUCUAAAUUCCAGUUCAUAGGUCUCUGCUUCAUGAUCCGUUUUGUAUUUGAAAUUUUAAACACUUUUCAUAUUUUUUCCAGUUGAAGAUUAGUGAAAGAAUGGAAAACUGUUAUUACA
Molecule: long non-coding RNA, 1101 nt
Organism: Malus domestica (apple)
Lineage: Eukaryota; Viridiplantae; Streptophyta; Magnoliopsida; Rosales; Rosaceae
Source: RefSeq, a predicted model, not a curated record